This 497-nucleotide ribosomal RNA is filed under the name uncultured bacterium. RNAcentral describes it as "partial 16S ribosomal RNA". It matches the Rfam family "Bacterial small subunit ribosomal RNA", at positions 28 to 507 of the family's 1533-position model. The record is from RNAcentral.
GAUGAACGCUGGCGGCGUGCCUAAUACAUGCAAGUCGAGCGAACAGACGAGGAGCUUGCUCCUCUGACGUUAGCGGCGGACGGGUGAGUAACACGUGGAUAACCUACCUAUAAGACUGGGAUAACUUCGGGAAACCGGAGCUAAUACCGGAUAAUAUAUUGAACCGCAUGGUUCAAUAGUGAAAGACGGUUUUGCUGUCACUUAUAGAUGGAUCCGCGCCGCAUUAGCUAGUUGGUAAGGUAACGGCUUAACAAGGCAACGAUGCGUAGCCGACCUGAGAGGGUGAUCGGCCACACUGGAACAGAGACACGGUCCAGACUCCGACGGGAGGAAGCAGUAGGGAAUCUUACGCAAGGGACGAAAGCCUGACGGAGCAAAGCCGCGUGAGUGAUGAAGGUGUUAGGAUCGUAAAACUCUGUUAUUAGGGAAGAACAAAUGUGUAAGUAACUAUGCACGUCUUGACGGUACCUAAUCAGAAAGCCACGGCUAACUACGUG